CAGAGCGUAGCUAAAUAGCACAGCAUCUCCCUUACGCCGAGAAGACACCCGUGCAAACCGGGUCGCACUG
Molecule: transfer RNA, 70 nt
Filed under: Cryptocentrus cinctus
Lineage: Eukaryota; Metazoa; Chordata; Actinopteri; Gobiiformes; Gobiidae
Description: tRNA-Val
Rfam family: tRNA
About the family: Transfer RNA (tRNA) molecules are approximately 80 nucleotides in length. Their secondary structure includes four short double-helical elements and three loops (D, anti-codon, and T loops).
Source: RNAcentral